CUAUGUUUGGUAGGGUGGGUUUGAAAGGGAAGGAUAAGAUUAGUUAUGAGGGAAAUGGAAGGAAAGGGAAGGGAAGGAUAAUUUUAAUUUAGUAUUGUGUUUGGUUGAUUAAGGAAGGAAAAGGAAGGGAAGGAUAAUAAUUAUGUUUGGGGAAAGAAAGGAAAGGAAAGUAUUUCGGUAAAUUUACUAUUAUACCCUUUUAUAAUUUAAAAUAAAAAUUAAUAACUUAAUUAUGUAAUAUUUGUAAAAAAAAAAAAAAAAAAAAAAAAAAAAAAAAAAAAAAAAGAAAAAAAUUAAUAUAAAUAUAAUAUUUUUAGGGUCAUCAUUUUAGGGUCCCCGCCUCCAUCUCUAUUCUCGUUCUCUCUCUGCAACACUCUCUCUCUUUUGCAACUGCAAACCACAAAACUACAACAAUCCAAGUUCCAAACCCAUAUGUUUAUCUAUCAUUUGCAAGAAUCAAAGGUUCAAAACCCAUAUCGGCAUAUUGUUUCAGAUUGUUCCAAAAAUCAAAACCCAUAUCUUUCAGUUUCCCUUGCCCGCUGUUCUAGUUUGGGUUCGCCGUUUCCAUCGCCGGUUGUUCCAGUUCGGGUUCGCUGUACGCAAGUUUCAGCCGCUGUCCUUCCCUCUCGCGACGACAUACCAGUGGAUCGAUGACUCCACCGGCAACCAAUUGAUUGGCGACAAUACCGGCAACCGGUUGAUCGGCGAUAAUACCGGUAUCCACCAGAGCAACGAGAGGCGGCAUCUAACUCUGUCUCCAAUAAAGGUCUCAAAUCAAUGGAGUUAUGCCAGAAUUUUCAGUUGCUUUCAUUGUUCUCCUAGGAUUGGAUGAUGCAAUUCUAACUCUCUGAUAAAGACUCAGGAAAGUCCUAGAUAAACCAUAUAUAUAUGCCUAAUUCAAGAACUAAAAGCAAAACCAUUAAAAAAUAACAAUAAUAGAAUCAAACUAUUUUCUGAUUCUAUCGCUGGAAUCGAAGAUUGAAGACCGGCAGAAUCUACUUCUUGAUUCCGGCGUCGUCGUUGCCGGAGAAGAAGAGAGCUCACAACAACCCCCAAAAUUCUUCACGGCCGAGAAUUUUGGACGACGACGACAAUUUGGGGAUGAAUGAAGGAAUGAUUGCUAGGUCAGAAGCAGAGAAGUAACAAUUUUUGCAGAGAGCUUUAAGAAAGAAACAUCUAGUUAAGGCCGUGGAGGCUUAGAUGGGAGGGGUUGGUAUGGAUCUGGAAAUGGGUUUUGCAGAGGAACAAAUUUUUUUUUUUUUUUUU
Long non-coding RNA from Cornus florida, 1266 nucleotides. RefSeq lists it as uncharacterized. The record is from RefSeq and is a predicted model, not a curated record. NCBI's taxonomy places the organism in Eukaryota, Viridiplantae, Streptophyta, Magnoliopsida, Cornales, Cornaceae. The transcript is spliced from 2 exons.